RNAcentral lists this ribosomal RNA (497 nucleotides) under uncultured bacterium. RNAcentral describes it as "partial 16S ribosomal RNA". It matches the Rfam family "Bacterial small subunit ribosomal RNA", at positions 28 to 507 of the family's 1533-position model. The record is from RNAcentral.
GAUGAACGCUGGCGGCGUGCCUAAUACAUGCAAGUCGAGCGAACAGACGAGGAGCUUGCUCCUCUGACGUUAGCGGCGGACGGGUGAGUAACACGUGGAUAACCUACAUAUAAGACUGGGAUAACUUCGGGAAACCGGAGCUAAUACCGGAUAAUAUAUUGAACCGCAUGGUUCAAUAGUGAAAGACGGUUUUGCUGUCACUUAUAGAUGGAUCCGCGCCGCAUUAGCUAGUUGGUAAGGUAACGGCUUACCAAGGCAACGAUGCGUAGCCGACCUGAGAGGGUGAUCAGCCACACUGGAACUGAGACACGGUCCAGACUCCUACGGGAGGCAGCAGUAGGGAAUCUUGCACAAUGGGCGAAAGCCUGACGGAGCAACGCCGCGUGAGUGAUGAAGGUCUUCGGAUCGUAAAACUCUGUUAGUAGGGAAGAACAAAAGUAUAAGUAACUAUGCACGUCUUGACGGUACCUAAUCAGAAAGCCACGGCUAACUACGUG